RNAcentral lists this ribosomal RNA (491 nucleotides) under uncultured bacterium. RNAcentral's name for it is "partial 16S ribosomal RNA". It matches the Rfam family "Bacterial small subunit ribosomal RNA", at positions 30 to 508 of the family's 1533-position model. The record is from RNAcentral.
AUUGAACGCUGGCGGCAGGCCUAACACAUGCAAGUCGAACGGUAACAGGAAGACGCUUGCUUCUUUGCUGACGAGUGGCGGACGGGUGAGUAGUGUCUGGGAAACUGCCUGAUGGAGGGGGAUAACUACUGGAAACGGUAGCUAAUACCGCAUAAUGUCGCAAGACCAAAGAGGGGGACCUUCGGGCCUCUUGCCAUCGGAUGUGCCCAGAUGGGAUUAGCUAGUAGGUGGGGUAACGGCUCACCUAGGCGACGAUCCCUAGCUGGUCUGAGAGGAUGACCAGCCACACUGGAACUGAGACACGGUCCAGACUCCUACGGGAGGCAGCAGUGGGGAAUAUUGCACAAUGGGCGCAAGCCUGAUGCAGCUAUGCCGCGUGUAUGAAGAAGGCCUUCGGGUUGUAAAGUACUUUCAGCGGGGAGGAAGGGAGUAAAGUUAAUACCUUUGCUCAUUGACGUUACCCGCAGAAGAAGCACCGGCUAACUCCGUGC